AUCCUGAUAUGGUCCUUGAGCCUUACUUUUGCUAACCCCUUGAUGCCUGUUUCAUAUCUUCUCUCUCCAGUUAUCCCAAACCUCCUGUCCCCCUUUCACUCUCAGCAAAUGACCUUGUUUUCUACUGUUUUCCCAUGCCCAUUAUGUAUUUCCUAGCUGUAUCCCAGGUGCCUACUUCCUGGAAUAUGGAGUUGAUUCAAUAUCAUAUUUGUUGAAUGAAUGAAACUAUGCAAAUUUCCUUGUGCUACAUACUCAGUAGUCAAUGGAUACAACGUAAUCAUAGCCUCCUGGUAUUGCACAUUCAUGGGAAUAAUGAAUUUAUUUGGACUAGAAACUAAGACCUGUUGGAAUGUCACCAGAAUAGAACCUCUUAAUGAAGUUCAAAGCUGUGAAGGCAUGUUUCUUCCAAAAAUGCUGUCAUUUGUAAACAUUCAUAAACAUUUAAUAAUAUUAUGAUUCACUUUUAAGAAUUAUUGUAAAAUUCUGUUGUUGAUUUAAAAAACAUUAGAACUGACUCACAUCAAUGAGUAUUUUACAUUUUUAAAAGUAGUUUUUACUGAGAAGGCUGUGUACUUAAAAAUUUGAGUAUAAAUUUUGGAAUUUGAGUAUUACAUAUCCCAUUGUAAGGCAACCUUGACUAUAAGUUAGUCUUCUAUUUCNNNNNNNNNNNNNNNNNNNNGAAUCCCUCAAGUUUUUGGAAUAGUUUCAGUAUGAUUGGUAUCCGCUCUCCUUUUAUGUCUGGUAGAAUUUGGCUGUGAAGUCAUCUGUUCCAGGGCUUUUUCUGGCUGGUAGGCUUUUUAUUGGUGAGUCAGUCUUGGAACUUGUUAUUGGUCUAUUCAGGAUUUUCAUUUCUUCUUGGUUAAAUCUUUGGAGGUUAUAUAUUUCCAGGAAUUUAGCCAUUUCUUCUAGGUUUUCCAGUUUGUGUCCAUAGAGUUGUUUGUAAUAGUCUCUCAGAGUUUUUUGCUUUUCUGCAGGGUCAAUGGUAAUAUCUCCUUUGUCAUUUCUGAUUGUGUUUAUUUGGGUCUUCUCUCUCUUUUUCUUUAUUAGUCUAGCUAGUGGUCUAUUAAAUUUAUUUGUUCUUUCAAAGAACCAACUUGUGGUUUUGUUGAUCUUUUGUAUGGUGUUUUGUGUCUCACUUUCAUUCAGUUCAUCUCUGAUUUGGUUAUUUCUUGUCUUCUGCUAGAUUUCGGGUUGGUUUGCUCUUAUUUUUCUGGUUCCUCUAGGUGUGAUGUUAGGUUGUUAAUCUGAGAUCUUUCUAACUUUGAAGCGGGCAUUUAGCUCUGUAAAUUUUCCUCUUAACACUGCUUUAGCUGUGUUCCAGCAAUCCUGGUAUGUUGUAUCUUUAUUGUCAUUAGUUUCAAAGAAUUUCUUGAUUUCUACCUUAAUUUCUUUGUUGACUCAAAAAGUCAUUCAGGAGCAGGUUGUUUAAAUUCCAUGUAAUUAUGUGGUUUUGGGAGAUGUUCUUAGUAUUGAUUUCUGUUUUUUUGCUGAGACUAUCUAUUUCUCUGGUAAACUUUUUAAAUUUUCCAUUUGUUUUAAGCAUGCUCAUUAGAGUAUAUUUAUGAUUGUUGCUUUAAAAUCCUUGAUAAUGCUAAUAUUUCUUUCAUCUCAGUAUUGGAAUCCAUUUAUUUCUCAUUCAGUUUGAGAUCUUUCUGGAUCUUGAUGAGUGAUUUUCACUUGAAACCUAGAUAUUUUGAGUAUUAUAUUAUGAGACCGGAUUUUAUUUAAACCUGCUAUUUUGACUAGAUACCUCUGGUAUCACUCAAGCAAAGGAAGGGGAAAAGGGGGAAGGCACCAUCUUGUUGCUUUCAGGAUCACCUGAGGUCAGGAGUUUGAGACCAGCCUGGCCAACAUGGUGAAACCCUGUCUCUACUAAAUAUAUAAAAAUUAGCCAGGCAUGGUGGUGGGCACUUGUAAUCCCAGCUACUUGGGAGGCUGAGGCAGGAGACUUGGCUUGAACCCAGGAGGAAGAGGUUGCAGUGAGCCAAGAUCACGCCACUGCACUCCAGCCUGAGUGAAAAGAGCGAGACUCCAUCCCCAAAAAAAAAAAAAGCCCAGGGAAGGUGGAAGUCUAGCUUCCCCACUUGGCCUUUGUUUAUACGGUAGGGGUAGAGCCACAUUUUUUUACUUUUGACUUUUUGGGUACUUUUUGUAUAUUUGUCUUAGUCUGUUUUGUGCUGUUUGAACAAAGUAUCUGAGACUAGGUAAUUUAUAAAGAAUAGAAAUUUAUAUCUCACAAUUAUGGAGUCUAAGAAUUCUGGAGUCCAAGGAAGUCCAAGAUCAAAGCGCCAGCAGAUUUGGUGUCUGGUGAAGGCUGCUCUCUGCUUCCAAGAUGGUGCCUUGAUGUUGCAUCUUCUGAAGGAGAGGAACACUGUGUCCUCACAUGGUAGACAGUAGGAGAGUAAGACGCUUUAAUCUCACUCAUGACGGGGGAGUCUUCAUGGUCUAAUCACCU
Pan paniscus (pygmy chimpanzee) is the source of this 2455-nucleotide long non-coding RNA. The record is from Ensembl. NCBI's taxonomy places the organism in Eukaryota, Metazoa, Chordata, Mammalia, Primates, Hominidae.